CAGAGUAGACCCUAAUGCGUAAAGUGUCCCAUGAACGGGGAGUUGUCGUGGGAACGAAAGAGGGAAACCCCUUCUGCGGUAUCAGGGUCGCAUCCCGCUGU
This 101-nucleotide non-coding RNA is filed under the name bovine gut metagenome. Its description in RNAcentral is "THF riboswitch". It matches the Rfam family "THF (Tetrahydrofolate) riboswitch aptamer". Rfam says of the family: THF riboswitch presents a pseudoknot that joins P1-P2 and the loop of P3 and two THF binding. The record is from RNAcentral.